AAAGUCGUAACAAGGUUUCCGUAGGUGAACCUGCGGAAGGAUCAUUACAAAUCCAAAACAAUUACCCGUCGUAAUGUUCUCGGCCUUGGUCAAAAUGAUGUGACAUGUCAUUAUCAUUGUUAGACAGUAUGUUGACGAACAACACUCCUGGAGAAAUAUAUUCUUUUCACCAGCAAGGUCGUCGUCAGCACACGGCUAGCACCAAGGUUCGACUUAAUGACUUUUAUGCUAUGGACAUACUGUAACCAAGUCGUUCACUCGACAAAACAAAAACAACUUUUAACAAUGGAUCUCUAGGCUCUU
This 303-nucleotide unclassified non-coding RNA is filed under the name Basidiomycota sp. RNAcentral describes it as "partial contains small subunit ribosomal RNA, internal transcribed spacer 1, and 5.8S ribosomal RNA". The stretch from base 1 to 47 matches the Rfam family "Eukaryotic small subunit ribosomal RNA", at positions 1785 to 1831 of the family's 1831-position model. The record is from RNAcentral. Lineage: Eukaryota; Fungi; Basidiomycota.